RNAcentral lists this ribosomal RNA (320 nucleotides) under uncultured eukaryote. RNAcentral's name for it is "partial 18S ribosomal RNA". It matches the Rfam family "Eukaryotic small subunit ribosomal RNA", at positions 1470 to 1796 of the family's 1831-position model. The record is from RNAcentral.
CCCCUAGAUGUUCUGGGCCGCACGCGCGCUACACUGAACAGUUCAACAAGUCUUAACCUUGGCCGAUAGGUCUGGGUAAUCUUUGAACGCUGUUCGUGAUUGGGAUAGACCGUUGCAAUUAUGGGUCUUCAACGAGGAAUUCCUAGUAAACGCAAGUCAUCAGCUUGCAUUGAUUACGUCCCUGCCCUUUGUACACACCGCCCGUCGCACCUACCGAUUGAAUGGUCCGGUGAAAUCUCGGGACGGCGGCUUGGUCGCUUGCGUCCGACUGCUGAAACUUGAUUAAACCAUAUCAUUUAGAGGAAGGUGAANUCGUAACA